RNAcentral lists this long non-coding RNA (1908 nucleotides) under Marmota monax (woodchuck). Lineage: Eukaryota; Metazoa; Chordata; Mammalia; Rodentia; Sciuridae. The record is from RNAcentral.
AUAGCAAUUUCUAGUACAUUUACAUUGGGUAAUUUCCUAUAUUCCAUUAAAUAUUGGUAUGCUGUCUCAUUUUUUUCUAGUUGUUAAAGAAACAACACUACACUGCCUUGUUUAAGCUCUACAAAACAUUAACAGAAAAUUUUUGCCAGUAAUGGUGGAUCAAUCUCCUGCAUAUAAUGGGCUAUUAUUGUUGCUAAUUUUUGUUGGAAAACUUUAUGCUUUUAUAGCAGUAAUUGCUAUUUAUAAUCAAAGAUUGUGUAUAUCAGAAUGGUUACAUUCUCCUCAUUUUUCAGGCUGUAAUUUUCUGCCUUUGGCUGAUAUAUGCAUAAUUAACUGCUGAUGGUUGCACUAAAAUUUUAUCUUUAACAGGCAUGGACAUUCAUGUUUUAUAUCUCACUUAUGGAAAAAUUCUACAUCUCCAAUACUUACAAUUUUUCUCCUAUUAUCAAGUUGAAUUAAUAGAUUAUUUUUAAGCACUUAUUUCUUUUCACAUGUCUCAUGAUGGGUGAGGCUCUUUAUUAUGUCAUAUUACACACUCCCCCUCUUUCUUGAUCUCUACCAUUCUUCUUAUAGCUGGGUUGAUGUUGUAUACGGAUGGAGGUAAGCAAAGCAGGUAUUAUCUGUUUUUAUUAAUGAUAAAUUCCUGGACCUCUGAUGGAAGGUAACACACAGAUGCGACUCUGAGAUCUCUUUAUACUUUAUUUUCAGAUGCUGUAGAAGCUCAUAGAUAUUUUCAUCAAAACCCUCGCUCACUAAUGAAGAUGUUUUCCAUUUUUUCCCAACAGGUUGUGCCAUUGUCAGUAACUGUUCUCACUGUAUGCCCUUCUGGGACCCCAUGUGGGAAUCUGUAAAUCCACAGGGCCUACAGUCUAAUGCACUUUGGGAAAUGGAUAAUGUCCAUUUCCUUUCCAUCUCCCUUUUACCCUUUUUCCUUUCUCCAUAUUUCCAUUAAGACUCAUUCUGGGUUCAUUUGGGCUAGUGCCCAUAGGUCUGAAAAGGUACCUGCUUGCAUUUCUCAUUUAUUACUCUACUUUGCCACUAUGGGCAAAUACAUUUAAAAAUGUAUCAAUUUUUAAAUAUAUGCCCCUUCAUAUAUGUCCUAUUCUUUUGCAUAAUUUUGUACUCAUUGGAUUAACUGUCAGGCUUACAAACAAACUAUGAAAUUGGCCUGUGAUAUGGUGAAAAAUAUGAAUUAUAACUCUAUGGAAAUCAAUAUGCUAAAUGAAGCACAAAAAUCAUCAAGUCAUUCUUCACAAUUGGGCUGCAAAUGAUUAUUUAUUAGUAUUAUAUCAUAAAGGCUGUAAUAAUCUUAACAAUAUAUGUUGCUUUAAUUUAAGUGACAAUAGUACCUCUAGUUCAAAAGAGUUAUAUUACCUUAUAGACAUCAUUAGAAAGAUCCAACUGGAUUAUGGAAGUUUAGAUAUACUGGAUUGGUUAAUCGUGUGGUUAACCAAUCUUACUUGGAUUAAACAACUAGUCAUAGGUGAGUGUCUACUAAUACUCAGAUUGUUGUUUUGUUUUUGUUAUUAUCAUAGCCUACCCUAUUUUUUACCUCCACCAAUAUUGAAAAACAAAACAAACCCCAAAUGUUAUCCCUCCAAAAGGCCACACAAACCAAAAAAGAAGAAGCUAUAAGUGUGUGACUGUGGAAAUGUACUAAACAGCAAGUGUCUCUGGUGAGCAAAUUCUUGGAGAAUAAAGGUGUCCUGUUUCCCACAGCUGGAACAUUCUGCAGUUUCUCCCAGACACUAUUACGAUAACUAAUGCAUGGUCGACCAGAACACCUAAUGUACUAAUGGUGCAGUGAGCUAAUGUAACCUAUCAGUAUAAAUAAAGACAGCUGCUUAGACAAGCAGCCAUUUUGCCCCUGCAUCUUGUUUCUUUCUCUUUUUGUUCCCUUACAGUCUC